AUAUAUUUUAUCUUUAAUAGCUAACUUUUAGCAAUGACAGCAAAGUUCAAACUAGCUACUGAUAUUUAGCUGAUAAUGCUAAUCAUUUUUUUACGUGUAUAUUUGCUAUGCACUCUAUCAAUCUCAGUACACACAACUGUCAAAAUAUACAAUGACAGCAGGUUGCAAAGUAAGCGCAAUGACAGAACCAAUCAGAAUCGCAGAUAAAAUGUUUCAAACUUCGAUAUAGAUGUGAGUAUCGAUGUCAUGCAUUUUUAUACAAAAGAUAUGAAUCAAGUAGUCUAAAUUUUUUUUGUAGAAUUUUGGACGGAAAAGCAACAAAAUUCUGUUUAUUAAAAAAACUUCUUUUGUGGCAGAUAAUACGCUGUAAAUGGAAGUUUAAAAAUUUGCCUGAAAAGGUGCGGCUAAACAAGUGUCAUGCAUACCAAAAAUAAAUUGACAAAUGACAUGGAAGUUUAUUUAUUGCAAUGUCUGUUGCUUCUUGCAAGACAAUAUUUGCGAUAACAGGGGAUUACGGGCAACCCAUCGGGAUGCCAAAAACCUGCUUGUAAAACACGUUGUUAAAAGAGAAGUAAGUGGAAUAUAUGCAAAACUAGUCGAACCGAGAUAAGAAAUUCAUCUUUAGGUAUAUGAACAUUUUUUGAUAGGUCGUUCCAUCUUUUUGAUAUGCUCUCCAUGGCCAAAUCUGUUGGGAUAUUUGUAAACAACGAUACAGCAUUCAAAGAUGCUAAUUUACAAUUAAAUUCUAAACAUAGUCCAUCAAGAUUGUUAAUUAAAUGAAAGCUGUUUUCAACGUAGCUAUAUAGGCGCCUUUGGUAUGUUGCCACUGAUGAUAUUACGUAAGUAUAAAAGGCUAAAGCGUAUAAUAAACUCGAAGAUAAUUCUAAGCGGAUUAUUCGGCUUGUGAAUUUUUGGCAACUCGUAAGCUCUAGAAAUUAGAAAUAAUCCUGCCAGUGUUCAACAAUCCCUUAUAAGUGUGCUUAUCUAUAUAUAUAAAUCUAUAUAUAUAUAAAUUUAUUUCUUUUCCAUCCAGUUAGAAGAAAACGCAAACCAUUAAUAAGUUCUUUUGUUGGACCUUUCUCAAUAAUUUAUAAUCAAUACUUUAUGUAACAUUUUUUUCUUAUUUCCACUUGUAGAAUAUACUUUCGCAGUUUAGCCGUUCAAUCCUAAGACAUUCUGCAUGAAUGAAAUACAUUAAUAGCUCAAUUUAUGUUCCUACCAAUGCAAAUUCGUGGACCUUCUCCAAAUGGCAAAUAAGCAUAAGGAUGCCUUUUUGCUACUUUGUCUGCAUUAAAUCGUUCGGGAUCAAAUUUAUCUGGAUCUGGAUAUAUUGACGGAUCUCGAUGUAGUCCAAGUACC
Molecule: long non-coding RNA, 1359 nt
Organism: Wasmannia auropunctata (little fire ant)
Lineage: Eukaryota; Metazoa; Arthropoda; Insecta; Hymenoptera; Formicidae
Exons: 2
Source: RefSeq, a predicted model, not a curated record